This 73-nucleotide transfer RNA is filed under the name Paragonimus skrjabini miyazakii. Its description in RNAcentral is "Paragonimus miyazakii tRNA". It matches the Rfam family "tRNA". From Rfam's summary of the family: Transfer RNA (tRNA) molecules are approximately 80 nucleotides in length. Their secondary structure includes four short double-helical elements and three loops (D, anti-codon, and T loops). The record is from Rfam by way of RNAcentral. Lineage: Eukaryota; Metazoa; Platyhelminthes; Trematoda; Plagiorchiida; Troglotrematidae.
GGUUCCGUGGUGUAGUGGUUAUCACGUCUGUCUUACACACAGAAGGUCCCCAGUUCGAUCCUGGGCGGAGCCA